UGCUCACAACUGUACUAUGAUGGCUGUUGCAUUAAUUGGUGCUCAUCCUGCGUGUGUACUACCAAUUUACCUGUGAUAUUUUAGUUCUGGCAUCUGAUUCCUUUUCUUGUAUGGGCUAAAAUGUGCGUAGUUGGAGUGUCUUUUUUUUGGGUGGGUUUUUGGAGUAGGAUAUGGCUUGAAGUAUCAUUGCUUUCCAUGAAAGCUCUUGCACUCUGUCUUGCAUUUGAACCAAGAAUUUAACUACAAACAUUGCUGUCUGUUCACGGACAACAAAUUUCUGUUCCCUUUGAGUAAGUUUUCUAGGAAUUUCAAAGUAUUUUUUUUCCCUUAAUAUUCCUGAUUCAUGUUGAGAAUCUGUACAGCCAGUGUCCUCACCCCUAAUGUGUCUCAGUUAAUUGAAUUCAUAUAUUUGGCCUAAGUGUAGUUAAUAUCAUUGCAUCAUCUAUUACAGAUUUGACUGAUGUAGUAAAAUGCAGGUAUGAGCUGGUGCAGGCUGAUCU
This 500-nucleotide unclassified non-coding RNA is filed under the name Hevea brasiliensis (rubber tree). The record is from RNAcentral. Lineage: Eukaryota; Viridiplantae; Streptophyta; Magnoliopsida; Malpighiales; Euphorbiaceae.